RNAcentral lists this non-coding RNA (39 nucleotides) under Mus musculus (house mouse). The record is from RNAcentral. Lineage: Eukaryota; Metazoa; Chordata; Mammalia; Rodentia; Muridae.
UCCCUUGUCAAAGACAGAGUGACCAUAGGUGUGUGGGUU